ACGGAGGGUGCAAGCGUUACUCGGAAUCACUGGGCGUAAAGAGCGUGUAGGCGGGUAUAUAAGUCAGAAGUGAAAUCCAAUAGCUUAACUAUUGAACUGCUUUUGAAACUGUGUACCUAGAAUGUGGGAGAGGUAGAUGGAAUUUCUGGUGGUGGGGUUAAGGGCGUAGGGAUGAGAGGGAGGAGGGAGUGCGGAGGGGGUGUAGGGGAGCAGUGUGGAGGGUGGGACGGGGGGGGGUGGGGAGCAGGGGG
RNAcentral lists this ribosomal RNA (251 nucleotides) under uncultured prokaryote. RNAcentral's name for it is "partial 16S rRNA". It matches the Rfam family "Bacterial small subunit ribosomal RNA", at positions 525 to 775 of the family's 1533-position model. The record is from RNAcentral.